UGGGGAAUAUUGCACAAUGGGCGCAAGCCUGAUGCAGCCAUGCCGCGUGUAUGAAGAAGGCCUUCGGGUUGUAAAGUACUUUCAGCGAGGAGGAAGGCGGUAAGGUUAAUAACCUUAUCGAUUGACGUUACUCGCAGAAGAAGCACCGGCUAACUCCGUGCCAGCAGCCGCGGUAAUACGGAGGGUGCAAGCGUUAAUCGGAAUCACUGGGCGUAAAGCGCACGCAGGCGGUCUGUCAAGUCGGAUGUGAAAUCCCCGGGCUCAACCUGGGAACUGCAUUCGAAACUGGCAGGCUAGAGUCUUGUAGAGGGGGGUAGAAUUCCAGGUGUAGCGGUGAAAUGCGUAGAGAUCUGGAGGAAUACCGGUGGCGAAGGCGGCCCCCUGGACAAAGACUGACGCUCAGGUGCGAAAGCGUGGGGAGCAAACA
Molecule: ribosomal RNA, 427 nt
Filed under: uncultured bacterium
Lineage: Bacteria
Description: partial 16S ribosomal RNA
Rfam family: Bacterial small subunit ribosomal RNA
Source: RNAcentral